This 253-nucleotide ribosomal RNA is filed under the name uncultured bacterium. RNAcentral describes it as "partial 16S ribosomal RNA". It matches the Rfam family "Bacterial small subunit ribosomal RNA", at positions 524 to 776 of the family's 1533-position model. The record is from RNAcentral.
UACAGAGGUCUCAAGCGUUGUUCGGAUUUAUUGGGCGUAAAGAGCUCGUAGGCGGCUCGUUGCGUCGGCUGUGAAAACCCGCAGCUCAACUGUGGGCUUGCAGCCGAUACGGGCGGGCUGGAGUUCGGUAGGGGAGACUGGAAUUCCUGGUGUAGCGGUGAAAUGCGCAGAUAUCAGGAGGAACACCGGUGGCGAAGGCGGGUCUCUGGGCCGAUACUGACGCUGAGGAGCGAAAGCGUGGGGAGCGAACAGG